CCUCUCGGGGGUAAGCGGGCAGAACUUGCAAGAAUUGAUGAGAAGAUUCAGACUUAGUGUCGAUGGCUGAGAGUAUUAUGUUAAGCUGUUUGUUCGCAAACGUGCUGGUUGCUACUCUUUGAUCUGUUGACGAUGCGUCGCAUUUCUUCUCAUCUUCGGAUUGCAUGCAACUGAUGUAGUAGUCUUAGGUGCUAAGAUCCUGCAAAUCCUUGUGGUUUGAGACUUGGUUUCCGACUACUUUUGUGGUUGUUGAUGGCGAACUGGCAUUUAAUGCGGUCAAAUUUAUGCACGAGCCGUGUACAUGUUUGAUGUCGACGAGCAAUCGUAAUAUGUUUCAUGUACUGGUUGUCGGUGUGUAAUUUUUGGCACAGUUCAGUAUUGCAAUCUAAAGAAUGCGUGAUCUGCCUGU
RNAcentral lists this ribosomal RNA (409 nucleotides) under Superodontella gisini. RNAcentral describes it as "partial 28S ribosomal RNA". Lineage: Eukaryota; Metazoa; Arthropoda; Collembola; Poduromorpha; Odontellidae. The record is from RNAcentral.